GGAAGGGUGGCUGAGUGGUCGAAGGCACCUGACUCGAAAUCAGGAGUAGGCGCAAGCCUACCGUGGGUUCGAAUCCCACCCCUUCCGCCA
RNAcentral lists this transfer RNA (90 nucleotides) under Limisphaerales bacterium. Its description in RNAcentral is "Verrucomicrobia subdivision 3 bacterium (hot springs metagenome) tRNA-Ser". It matches the Rfam family "tRNA". From Rfam's summary of the family: Transfer RNA (tRNA) molecules are approximately 80 nucleotides in length. Their secondary structure includes four short double-helical elements and three loops (D, anti-codon, and T loops). Further hydrogen bonds mediate the characteristic L-shaped molecular structure. tRNAs have two regions of fundamental functional importance: the anti-codon, which is responsible for specific mRNA codon recognition, and the 3' end, to which the tRNAs corresponding amino acid is attached (by aminoacyl-tRNA synthetases). tRNAs cope with the degeneracy of the genetic code in two manners: having more than one tRNA (with a specific anti-codon) for a particular amino acid; and 'wobble' base-pairing, i.e. permitting non-standard base-pairing at the 3rd anti-codon position. The record is from RNAcentral. Lineage: Bacteria; Pseudomonadati; Verrucomicrobiota; Verrucomicrobiia; Limisphaerales.